This is a small nuclear RNA of Nomascus leucogenys (northern white-cheeked gibbon), 57 nucleotides long. NCBI's taxonomy places the organism in Eukaryota, Metazoa, Chordata, Mammalia, Primates, Hylobatidae. The record is from Ensembl.
GUGCUUGCUUUGGCAGCAUAUAUACUAAAAUUGGAACAAUACAGAGAAGAUUAGCAU